Molecule: ribosomal RNA, 406 nt
Filed under: uncultured bacterium
Lineage: Bacteria
Description: partial 16S ribosomal RNA
Rfam family: Bacterial small subunit ribosomal RNA
Source: RNAcentral
GAUGAACGCUAGCUACAGGCUUAACACAUGCAAGUCGAGGGACCGGCGCACGGGUGAGUAACACGUAUCCAACCUGUCCUUUACUCGGGGAUAGCCUUUCGAAAGAAAGAUUCAUACCCGAUACAAUGGAUGGGGAGGCUUUCCAUUAGUUUGUUGGUGAGGUAACGGCUAACCAAGCCUUCGAUGGAUAGGGGUGCUGAGAGGAAGGUCCCCCACAUUGGAACUGAGACACGGUCCAACCUCGUACGGGAGGCAGCAGUGAGGAAUAGUGGGCAAUGGGCGCUAGCCUGAACCAGCCAAGUAGCGUGAAGGAUGAAGGCUUAUGGGUCGUAAACUUCUUUUAUAUAAGAAUAUGUAUUAUACGAAUAAGGAUCGGCUAACUCCGGGCCAGCAGCCGCGGUAAUAC